AUAUCUCCUUGCUGCCCAUUGUUUCCUUUACGUAACAGGACUUUUUGAUGUGUUAACUCUCUCAAAUCAUGUCCAAAACAUAUCCAGAUCGAAAAUCCAUUUUUUGACCAUCGGAUUGAGUUUAAACGGUUUAGAUCAAUCUCAAAUCAUCCUAAAUCAAGUCAGAAUCAUUGGUAGCCAUUGGAUCAAGCCUCAAAUUGCUUUUAGACCAUUGGAUCACACACC
This 225-nucleotide long non-coding RNA is filed under the name Elaeis guineensis (African oil palm). Its description in RNAcentral is "long non-coding RNA (EGUI_LNC022952)". The record is from RNAcentral. Lineage: Eukaryota; Viridiplantae; Streptophyta; Magnoliopsida; Arecales; Arecaceae.